Molecule: non-coding RNA, 21 nt
Filed under: Arabidopsis thaliana (thale cress)
Lineage: Eukaryota; Viridiplantae; Streptophyta; Magnoliopsida; Brassicales; Brassicaceae
Source: RNAcentral
UCAUUCGAGCCUCGUGAAUCU